RNAcentral lists this ribosomal RNA (454 nucleotides) under uncultured Parabacteroides sp. Its description in RNAcentral is "partial 16S ribosomal RNA". It matches the Rfam family "Bacterial small subunit ribosomal RNA", at positions 341 to 792 of the family's 1533-position model. The record is from RNAcentral. Lineage: Bacteria; Pseudomonadati; Bacteroidota; Bacteroidia; Bacteroidales; Tannerellaceae.
ACGGAAGGCAGCAGUGAGGAAUAUUGGUCAAUGGAGGCAACUCUGAACCAGCCAUCUCGCGUGAAGGAAUACGGCCCUAUGGGUCUUAAACUUCUUUUAUAGGGGGAUAAAGUGAGCCACGUGUGGCUUUUUGUAGGUACCCUAUGAAUAAGCAUCGGCUAACUCCGUGCCAGCAGCCGCGGUAAUACGGAGGAUGCGAGCGUUAUCCGGAUUUAUUGGGUUUAAAGGGUGCGCAGGCGGCACGUUAAGUCAGCGGUGAAAUGUCGGGGCUCAACCCGGGCACUGCCGUUGAAACUGGCGAGCUUGAGUACGGAUGAAGUCGGCGGAAUGUGAUGUGUAGCGGUGAAAUGCAUAGAUAUGUCACAGAACACCAAUUGCGAAGGCAGAUGACUAAACCGCAACUGACGCUCAUGCACGAAAGCGUGGGGAUCGAACAGGAUUAGAUACCCUGGUG